UACGGAGGAUGCAAGCGUUAUCCGGAAUUAUUGGGCGUAAAGCGUCCGUAGGUGGUUUAUCAAGUCAGUGGUUAAAGCGUGGAGCUUAACUCCAUAAAGGCCAUUGAAACUGGUAGGCUAGAGUGCGGUAGGGGUAGAGGGAAUUUCCAGUGUAGCGGUGAAAUGCGUAGAUAUUGGAAAGAACACCGGUGGCGAAAGCGCUCUACUGGACCUGCACUGACACUGAGGGACGAAAGCUAGGGGAGCGAAAGGG
Molecule: ribosomal RNA, 253 nt
Filed under: uncultured bacterium
Lineage: Bacteria
Description: partial 16S ribosomal RNA
Rfam family: Bacterial small subunit ribosomal RNA
Source: RNAcentral